UACGUAGGGGUCGAGCGUUGUCCGGACUUAUUGGGCGUAAAGAGCGUGUAGGCGGCCAGGUAGGUCUGGUGUGAAAACUCGAGGCUUAACCUCGAGAUGUCAUCGGAAACCAUUUGGCUAGAGUCCGGAAGAGGAGAGUGGAAUUCCUGGUGUAGCGGUGAAAUGCGCAGAUAUCAGGAGGAACACCAGUGGCGAAGGCGGUGCUCUGGGCCGGAACUGACGCUGAUGAGCGAAAGCGUGGGGAGCGAACAGG
RNAcentral lists this ribosomal RNA (253 nucleotides) under uncultured bacterium. RNAcentral's name for it is "partial 16S ribosomal RNA". It matches the Rfam family "Bacterial small subunit ribosomal RNA", at positions 524 to 776 of the family's 1533-position model. The record is from RNAcentral.